CCUUUCAGACUAGAUCCCGCAGAUGUCAUGGGAAGCCCUCUGCUGAGGUCUAAGCUGGAGUCCAGGACCUAUUUCUGUACCUUUCUGACCUAGGAGUCUGCGGUGAAUCCAUACUGUCCAAACCCAGGCUUGGGAAGGAAGCUUGACCAAACAUCCAUUAGUCCACUGAUUCUUCCUCAGCCUCCAGACUAAACCCGAGUCAGGCGGAGCUGACAGGUGUGCCCGAUCAGACAUCGUCCCAGAUCUGAUUACUUUUCUGGGGGCAAAGGGUAGAUGAGACUUAUUUGCAAUUUGUUCCAAGGGCCAUAAAGGUACCUGACAUCAAAGCUACCAAAGCCACUUGCUGCAUCCCAGGCUAUGACCAGUCCUCUUGAAUUUUGUCUGACUCCUGCACUUGGAUGAGUCUGGAAGAGAGAAUGAAGCCUUUGCAAGUCAAGACAUCAGCUAAUGAUGUUCAUGGAAUAUACCUUCUAGGGGAGAUAGCCACAGGGAGGUCCCCCUGACCUUGGGGUGCUUCUGUCCUCACAAUCCAUCAAUGAUCCUAAAAUCUUCUGGCCUUAGGAGAGUCCUAGGUCUUCUGGUCAGUAAUAACCAGAUUCCUGAGACCACUCAUCAGGUCUCCCUCUAGGCCAUAGCUUUAGCACAUCAAUGACAUGAAGAACUGGAUACAUGGGUCUCCUUGCUCCUGGCUCUUUGCUAAACUCUUUUGGAACUUGGCCUGCUUCAAUUGGCCUUACAAUGAUAAUAAACUUUGCCCCUUGACUUGAACUACAAGUCGGCAAAUUCUUUUGAGACACCUUGCGACACCAGUCUUCAACCCUAACCUUUUGGUCCCUUCCCAACUUCAAUAUUUGGUGGCCCCUAUGGGGAGAGUCUGACCUCCCCUGGCUUGAUUCCCUCCUUGUCAAGUUCCCAUCUGCUCCUUUGGGGAAACACCCCAGAAGGUAUUAAGGGACCCUCUCCACUCCACUCUCCAGAGGCCUGAGUGUAUCUCAGUUGUGGGGACUGCUAACAAGAUCAGCAUAGCCCAAGUCCCUCUGUUUGCUAACCCCUCUCAUCUCAGAUCAGAUUAAGAAAAGUGAAUGCUAAAGAAUUGAGGGAAACUCAAAUUCUGCUCCACCUGUGGAAAUGGGAAGCAGCAACAGCCAUGGGGACGCCACCCAGACUUACCCAACAUCUCCCCAACCCAGCUUGGGGGAAUGAAGAUGGAGUGGGGAUAUGGCCUAAUGGUCAGCAUUCCCUGAGCCUUGGCACCUGAAACUACCAUCAAAGGAAAUCCUGAUACCAGUCACCCCAGUCUUCAGCAGAUCCUAUCCAGCAACUGCCUGGGAAAAAUCUGGGUAUCCUGGCGGCACCCACCGUGGCAGUGUGAGGUGAGAAAGCCAGUCAGCCUCUUUCAUUUGUUUUAACCUACUUGGAAGAUCUGUUUCCUCCAGACUCCAAGCUAUGAAUCGAACUUUGUGUUCAACCUAAAUACCAUCGGCUAACUGAUUCUGACACUAGGCACCCUGCUGAACGCUGCUCAUCUUCAAGUUGCCUGCCUCCCCUACUCAGUCUGGUCCCCUAGGCAAGGAGAGCUCUACACCCCUUAUCAGCAUGAAGCAGCUCCAGAAAGAUGAGCUCUCCAUUCCUUAGUCCCAAAUGAAUUUGGGGUUCCAACUGCUUGAGACGGGAAAAUGAUGGAAUAUAGUUUCUAGGGGAGACAACACACCUGAUUUGGGGGUGCUUCUGUUCUAACAAUCUGUCAAUGAUAUUAAAGUCUUCAGGCUUUAGAAUCAGUGAUCAUGAGGUCCCCCCAACCUUAGAGUGCUAUUGUAACAAUCUGUUCAUAUAUGAUUGUAAAAGUCUUCUGGCCUAGAAAUAUAAUAUUUCUUCCCUUAGACUUUAGGGAAGAUAUCUUAGGGAUCCUGAGACCCUUUGACCUUGGGGUGCUUCUGUUUUCACAAUCUGUCAAUGAUUCUAAAGUUUUCUGGCUUUAGGAGAGUCCUAGGUCUGCUGAUCAGGGCUAACCAGAUUCCUGAGACCACUGGUCAAUUCCCCCUCUAGGCCAUAGCAUUAGCACAUCAACUACAUGAAGAACUGGAUACAUGUGUCUCUUUGCUCCUCGCUCUUUGCCAAACUCUUUUUGGAACUUAGCCUGCUUCAAUUGGCCUUACAAUGACAAUAAACUUUGCCCCUUGGCUUGGAGAUGGGCUCAAGCCUGCAAAUUCUUUUGAGAUACCUUGCAACACCAGUCUGCGACCUCAAACUUUUAGGGUACCUUCUCAACCUUAUUGCCAUUGGUCUUCAAAAAUGGACAAACAACAGGUGGAGCACCAGGAUUAGAGUAAGACUCAUUUAUCUGAGUUCCAGUCUGGUUGUGUGACACUGGACAAGUCACUUCACCCUACUUGCCUCAGUUUCUUCAUCUGUGAAAAGAACUGGACAAUGG
Molecule: long non-coding RNA, 2431 nt
Organism: Sarcophilus harrisii (Tasmanian devil)
Lineage: Eukaryota; Metazoa; Chordata; Mammalia; Dasyuromorphia; Dasyuridae
Exons: 3
Source: RefSeq, a predicted model, not a curated record